CACUGAGAAGCUAAAUAGGGAUUAGCAUUAGCCUUUUAAGCUAAAGAUUGGUGACCCCCAACCACCCCCAGUGA
Molecule: transfer RNA, 74 nt
Filed under: Silurus lanzhouensis
Lineage: Eukaryota; Metazoa; Chordata; Actinopteri; Siluriformes; Siluridae
Also listed under: 3 other names
Description: tRNA-Lys
Rfam family: tRNA
About the family: Transfer RNA (tRNA) molecules are approximately 80 nucleotides in length. Their secondary structure includes four short double-helical elements and three loops (D, anti-codon, and T loops).
Source: RNAcentral